Camelus ferus (Wild Bactrian camel) is the source of this 72-nucleotide transfer RNA. It matches the Rfam family "tRNA". From Rfam's summary of the family: Transfer RNA (tRNA) molecules are approximately 80 nucleotides in length. Their secondary structure includes four short double-helical elements and three loops (D, anti-codon, and T loops). Further hydrogen bonds mediate the characteristic L-shaped molecular structure. tRNAs have two regions of fundamental functional importance: the anti-codon, which is responsible for specific mRNA codon recognition, and the 3' end, to which the tRNAs corresponding amino acid is attached (by aminoacyl-tRNA synthetases). tRNAs cope with the degeneracy of the genetic code in two manners: having more than one tRNA (with a specific anti-codon) for a particular amino acid; and 'wobble' base-pairing, i.e. permitting non-standard base-pairing at the 3rd anti-codon position. NCBI's taxonomy places the organism in Eukaryota, Metazoa, Chordata, Mammalia, Artiodactyla, Camelidae. The record is from Rfam.
GAGGCUAUAGCUCAGAGGUAGAGCACAUGCUUAGCAUGCAUGAAGUCCUGGGUUCAAUCCCUAGUACCUCCA